AAUUCUUUUCUCCAUUGGAAACUUGACCAGCUUAUCCCUUUAUGAAAACAAACUCUCUGGUUUGAUUCCUCAAGAAGUUGGAAAUUUGGUAUUCCUUUCUGAAUUUGAAUUGUCAAGUAAUGAUCUCACUGAUACAAUGCAUGCUUCUAUAUGAUAGUUUUUAGUGAUCAUACGAGAUAAAUCAUUGAACCAGAAUACCCA
Molecule: unclassified non-coding RNA, 201 nt
Filed under: Hevea brasiliensis (rubber tree)
Lineage: Eukaryota; Viridiplantae; Streptophyta; Magnoliopsida; Malpighiales; Euphorbiaceae
Source: RNAcentral